This 249-nucleotide ribosomal RNA is filed under the name uncultured bacterium. RNAcentral's name for it is "partial 16S ribosomal RNA". It matches the Rfam family "Bacterial small subunit ribosomal RNA", at positions 333 to 597 of the family's 1533-position model. The record is from RNAcentral.
UUUUGCCUACGGGACGCAGCAGUGGGGAAUAUUACACAAUGGGGGAAACCCUGAUGCAGCGACGCCGCGUGAGUGAGGAAGUAUUUCGGUAUGUAAAGCUCUAUCAGCAGGGAAGAAAAAAUGACGGUACCUGACUAAGAAGCACCGGCUAAAUACGUGCCAGCAGCCGCGGUAAUACGUAUGGUGCAAGCGUUAUCCGGAUUUACUGGGUGUAAAGGGAGCGCAGGCGGUACGGCAAGUCUGAUGUGA